UCCUGUCUACUUCUUCCUCUCCCCGCCCCUCCUUCCGCAGCAGGGGAUAAAGAGCAGAGGGAACCGGAGGAGAGGUCUGCAGGGCCUCUUUGACUCUGCUGACCAUCAGCGGCCAUGAGAUGCUGCCCACAGGAGAGAAACGGGAGUGGCGGAGACCGAGGGGGCUGCAGCAUGAACCCGCACUGUGUGCCCCCCCCACCCCGUCCUGCUGCCUCCAGGUCCCAGGCUGCAGACCUUGGGUCUCUUUGCUGGUAGGAAGCUCAUCAAUUUGCCUGGGGAGGAGGGGGCGGCUGCCUGAGGCGGAGGAGGGAUUCAGGUGGCAGCUACAGCCAAACGGGUUUUGCAAUGAUCCCCUGCCUCCCAUCCCCACCUCCUGCUUCAGAAACAAGCAUGGUAUAUCAAGGGCAAUCCUACAUAAGGGCCUGGAAGAGCUGCAGGGAGAUCCUGGUGCUGUACUCUUCUAGAGCCGUCUCCUCCUCCCUGCAGAGCUAAUAGGCAUGACUGGCAUGAAUAUAUCCAUACAUCUUGCUAUAAAUAUACACAUCUUUAGUUAUAUAUAUCUUUUCUUCUAAAGACUUGGCAAGAAUUCCCUAGAAGCCUUUUCCAUGACACAAUAGAAAACCAGCAGAGUCAUCGGUUUGAUGGUUCCCACAAACACAGCUUCGGGUUGACCUUCGCAAAGCUCCUUUGAACUCGGCUUCCCAUAACUGAACCCCUUCAGCCCUCACUGGCCUCCCAUACCCUGGCAACCACAAAAUAAAGCUCAGUUUCCUGAAACUGCCA
This is a long non-coding RNA of Mirounga angustirostris (Northern elephant seal), 783 nucleotides long. RefSeq lists it as uncharacterized. The transcript has 3 exons. NCBI's taxonomy places the organism in Eukaryota, Metazoa, Chordata, Mammalia, Carnivora, Phocidae. The record is from RefSeq and is a predicted model, not a curated record.